UAAAUCAGUAUCGUUUAUUUGAUAGUACCUUACUACUUGGAUAACCGUGGUAAUUCUAGAGCUAAUACAUGCUAAAAACCCCGACUUCGGGAGGGGUGUAUUUAUUAGAUAAAAAACCAAUGCCCUUCGGGGCUCUUUGGUGAUUCAUGAUAACUUAACGGAUCGCAUGGCCUUGCGCCGGCGACGGUUCAUUCAAAUUUCUGCCCUAUCAACUUUCGAUGGUAAGGUAUUGGCUUACCAUGGUUUCAACGGGUAACGGGGAAUUAGGGUUCGAUUCCGGAGAGGGAGCCUGAGAAACGGCUACCACAUCCAAGGAAGGCAGCAGGCGCGCAAAUUACCCAAUCCCGACUCGGGGAGGUAGUGACAAUAAAUACUGAUACAGGGCUCUUUUGGGUCUUGUAAUCGGAAUGAGUACAAUUUAAACCCCUUAGCGAGGAACAAUUGGAGGGCAAGUCUGGUGCCAGCAGCCGCGGUAAUUCCAGCUCCAAUAGCGUAUAUUAAAGUUGUUGCAGUUAAAAAGCUCGUAGUUGAACCUUGGGCCUGGCUGGCCGGUCCGCCUCACCGCGUGUACUGGUCCGGCCGGGCCUUUCCUUCUGGAGAGCCGCAUGCCCUUCACUGGGUGUGUCGGGGAACCAGGACUUUUACUUUGAAAAAAUUAGAGUGUUCAAAGCAGGCCUUUGCUCGAAUACGUUAGCAUGGAAUAAUAGAAUAGGACGUGCGGUCCUAUUUUGUUGGUUUCUAGGACCGCCGUAAUGAUUAAUAGGGAUAGUCGGGGGCAUCAGUAUUCAAUUGUCAGAGGUGAAAUUCUUGGAUUUAUUGAAGACUAACUACUGCGAAAGCAUUUGCCAAGGAUGUUUUCAUUAAUCAGUGAACGAAAGUUAGGGGAUCGAAGACGAUCAGAUACCGUCGUAGUCUUAACCGUAAACUAUGCCGACUAGGGAUCGGGCGAUGUUUCUAUCUUGACUCGCUCGGCACCU
RNAcentral lists this ribosomal RNA (977 nucleotides) under Crassimassarina baoshanensis. RNAcentral's name for it is "SSU rRNA". It matches the Rfam family "Eukaryotic small subunit ribosomal RNA", at positions 102 to 1088 of the family's 1831-position model. Lineage: Eukaryota; Fungi; Ascomycota; Dothideomycetes; Pleosporales; Lophiotremataceae. The record is from RNAcentral.